GUCUCCGUAGCUCAGUUGGAUAGAGCAACCGCCUCCUAAGCGGUAGGCCGGAGGUUCGACUCCUCUCGGGGACGCCA
RNAcentral lists this transfer RNA (77 nucleotides) under Candidatus Gemmiger faecavium. Its description in RNAcentral is "tRNA-Arg". It matches the Rfam family "tRNA". Rfam says of the family: Transfer RNA (tRNA) molecules are approximately 80 nucleotides in length. Their secondary structure includes four short double-helical elements and three loops (D, anti-codon, and T loops). The record is from RNAcentral. Lineage: Bacteria; Bacillati; Bacillota; Clostridia; Eubacteriales; Oscillospiraceae.